GAUGAACGCUGGCGGCGUGCUUAACACAUGCAAGUCGAACGAUGAAGCCCAGCUUGCUGGGUGGAUUAGUGGCGAACGGGUGAGUAACACGUGAGUAACCUGCCCUUAACUCUGGGAUAAGCCUGGGAAACUGGGUCUAAUACCGGAUAGGAGCGCCUACCGCAUGGUGGGUGUUGGAAAGAUUUAUCGGUUUUGGAUGGACUCGCGGCCUAUCAGCUUGUUGGUGGGGUAAUGGCUCACCAAGGCGACGACGGGUAGCCGGCCUGAGAGGGUGACCGGCCACACUGGGACUGAGACACGGCCCAGACUCCUACGGGAGGCAGCAGUGGGGAAUAUUGCACAAUGGGCGGAAGCCUGAUGCAGCGACGCCGCGUGAGGGAUGACGGCCUUCGGGUUGUAAACCGCUUUCGGUUGGGAAGAAGCGAGAGUGACGGUACCUGCAGAAGAAGCACCGGCUAACUACGUG
RNAcentral lists this ribosomal RNA (466 nucleotides) under uncultured bacterium. RNAcentral's name for it is "partial 16S ribosomal RNA". It matches the Rfam family "Bacterial small subunit ribosomal RNA", at positions 28 to 507 of the family's 1533-position model. The record is from RNAcentral.